CCUACGGGUGGCAGCAGUGAGGAAUAUUGGUCAAUGGCCGGGAGGCUGAACCAGCCAAGUCGCGUGAGGGAAGACGGCCCUAUGGGUUGUAAACCUCUUUUGUCAGGGAGCAACGUGCACGUCGUGACGCGCUGUUGGAGUACCUGAAGAAAAAGCAUCGGCUAACUCCGUGCCAGCAGCCGCGGUAAUACGGAGGAUGCGAGCGUUAUCCGGAUUUAUUGGGUUUAAAGGGUGCGCAGGCGGAAGCACAAGUCAGCGGUAAAAUCGCGGGGCUCAACCCCGCUGCGCCGUUGAAACUGUGGUCCUUGAGUGCGCGAAGGGUAGGCGGAAUGCGUGGUGUAGCGGUGAAAUGCAUAGAGAUCACGCAGAACUCCGAUCGCGAAGGCAGCCUACAGGCGCGCAACUGACGCUCAUGCACGAAAGCGUGGGUAUCGAACAGGAUUAGAUACCCCUGUAGUC
This 459-nucleotide ribosomal RNA is filed under the name uncultured bacterium. RNAcentral describes it as "partial 16S ribosomal RNA". It matches the Rfam family "Bacterial small subunit ribosomal RNA", at positions 338 to 795 of the family's 1533-position model. The record is from RNAcentral.